Long non-coding RNA from Nyctereutes procyonoides (raccoon dog), 816 nucleotides. RefSeq lists it as uncharacterized. The record is from RefSeq and is a predicted model, not a curated record. The transcript is spliced from 3 exons. Lineage: Eukaryota; Metazoa; Chordata; Mammalia; Carnivora; Canidae.
GCCAGGGCUGCCUCCUGCUUGACGGCAUCGGCGAUGGCGAUCAUCCCGCACAGCACACCUGCAGGAGAUGCCCUCAGACAAACAUCUGGAAGGAACACGAACUGUUAACAGUGGCGCUCUGAGGGGUCGGGAAGCAUUUCUGUACAACUUCCUUGGUUUGGGGCUUUUUGGAGUGAAUCUCCAGACGCUGAGGCAGGUGGGUUCUGAGGCCUGAGGCCUGGAUCCUUCAGCCGGGCUGGUCCUGAUCUGAGCAGCUGAGGGGGCUGCAGCUCUGGGAGGACUUUGGAAAGGAUAUGGUGGUGCAAGCGGGAGGAAAGCCCGGAAGAGGGCCUAUUUGGUUGAAGCGUUAAAAAUAACGCUUGUUUGUUACUUUUCUGCCUCCAUAAGCAGAGGCUACCAUCGACACAGGGAGAUUGCAGUCGUCUGAGGCAUAAAGGCCUAGAUGGAACCCGAGCGCCAGACACGUGAUCGCGGGGAGCCCCCCGGAGGGACCCGUGGCUGAGUCUGACAGGGAGCUGCUGUUGGGCAUCCAGGGAUGGAGCAGGGGGGUGACUGAACCUGGCUUGGAUGGAGGCGGACGCCGAGGCAAAGGCAGGCCAGAGUCCCAAGAGCGGGGAGGCCGGUGCCCCUCGCUCUGGGGCAAGGAGGGACCCGGCAGGCUCAGACCCUCUGCACCAAGUGAAGCAGGAAACUGGCCAGGCAGCCUCUGGACGCAGAAGCUACAUUAACAGACAGGAAGACUUAUGGGGGGGGGGGGGGAGAAGGAGAAGGUCUGUGUUUGCCAGAUAUCCCCGGAGUCUGCUGCUGAGAGCGGAG